This is a non-coding RNA of Cyanistes caeruleus (blue tit), 730 nucleotides long. The record is from RefSeq and is a predicted model, not a curated record. Lineage: Eukaryota; Metazoa; Chordata; Aves; Passeriformes; Paridae.
GUUUCAGGCCAGCAGAGCUGGGAAACACUGGGUUGCUCAUCCUUGACUCUUUGCAGUAUCUCAGUGCUGGAGCUGGUGACCAAAGGCAGUGAACAGUUUGAUCUGAUUGAAACUCACUGCUCAUGCCAAAAGUCCCAGCAGAAAUACAUUGACCUCUGUAGUGAGGAGCUGGAUCUGCUGGUGUCGGCCCCUGCGAUGAGUGUGUGUCAAGGAGGAAGACUCUGCAGAUAAAUCUGAGUGCAGCUCUACAGCACUGCAAGCACUCACUGAGAGCACCUGGGAGUGACAAACUGCUGCUGUGUAAGGCUGGCCAGGAAGAGAAUGAUGCCCUUCAGAGAGGAGAAGUAAUAAAAGUUUUGAAAGAAAAGGUUCAGGUGGGACAGUUUGUCAGAGCUUGGGAGUAGAAACCAAAUCUACCUUUCACAUGGGGAUUCUCUUCAAAAUUAUUCUGGCUUGCACUGGUUUGUUUUACAUGAAUGGAGGAUGCUUCGACUUUACAAAUUAAUUUUUACCUCUGUGACCUUGGGUUGUGUGCUUACAACUGAACUUACAGCAGUGUUUUUGCUUGUGUUUGAGGAUCAUGGCUCCAGGGUGCCAGGCACUGCAGGAUAAGCCCCAUCAGCAAAAUGCUACAGGAAAAACCAGCUGCCUUAGCUGGCAGCUGCUGGGGGAGCUACCUAUGGACUACAUGUGAAGGAGAAGCAGCCAAGCCAUCAGGCUCAUUUUGUAG